ACAGAGGGUGCGAGCGUUAAUCGGACUUACUGGGCGUAAAGGGCGCGUAGGUGGACAAUUAAGUCGGAUGUGAAAUCCCAGGGCUCAACUCUGGAAUUGCAUUUGAUACUGGUUGUCUAGAGUACAGUAGAGGGAAGAGGAAUUUCCGGUGUAGCGGUGAAAUGCGUAGAUAUCGGAAGGAACACCAGUGGCGAAGGCGUCUUCCUGGGCUGAUACUGACACUGAGGCGCGAAAGCGUGGGUAGCGAACAGG
This 252-nucleotide ribosomal RNA is filed under the name uncultured bacterium. Its description in RNAcentral is "partial 16S ribosomal RNA". It matches the Rfam family "Bacterial small subunit ribosomal RNA", at positions 525 to 776 of the family's 1533-position model. The record is from RNAcentral.